Molecule: ribosomal RNA, 253 nt
Filed under: uncultured bacterium
Lineage: Bacteria
Description: partial 16S ribosomal RNA
Rfam family: Bacterial small subunit ribosomal RNA
Source: RNAcentral
UACGUAGGGUGCGAGCGUUGUCCGGAAUUAUUGGGCGUAAAGGGCUCGUAGGCGGUCUGUCGCGUCGAAAGUGAAAACUCAGGGCUUAACCCUGAGCCUGCUUCCGAUACGGGCAGACUAGAGGUAUGCAGGGGAGAACGGAAUUCCUGGUGUAGCGGUGAAAUGCGCAGAUAUCAGGAGGAACACCGGUGGCGAAGGCGGUUCUCUGGGACGGUACUGACGCUGAGACGCGAAAGCGUGGGGAGCGAACAGG